AUGGGACGGCGACCUCGCCUUCCUAUUCAAUGUUCUGUCGGUAGCGUCGUUCUCUGUCCAGGAGCAUCCGGACAGGGAGGUGCUCCCGCCAUGCGUCUAGGCAUGUACUGCAACGGCGACCACAUGGCUAAGAUGGCCAUUGCCAUCACCGAGUUCCGCGCUCUCUGUUCUUCAUUAAAUCAGAUGCGGAAACUAAAAGGCGAGUACCAUGGGAUCAUGAAGUAUAUAAAGCAAAGGAGGAGUUGUACCAUCUCCUCUCCGGCAAGAUUCUUUUUUUUGCUGGGGAAUGAACGAAUUGAAUGCAAGAUUGCAUUGUUACAAGGACAGAGAGUGGACCACCACCUUCAGUUUCUCAGAUUCCCUGUUUGCAUUCGCCAUUCUCAACAAGCACCAGGAUGUGGCUUUGGUUCUGCACAAACAAUAUCUUCAGUGGUUUCUAGAUCAAGCCCUAUGUUCUUUAUCUGA
This 465-nucleotide ribosomal RNA is filed under the name Triticum aestivum (bread wheat). RNAcentral describes it as "partial small subunit ribosomal RNA". The record is from RNAcentral. Lineage: Eukaryota; Viridiplantae; Streptophyta; Magnoliopsida; Poales; Poaceae.